AGCGAACGCUGGCGGCAGGCUUAACACAUGCAAGUCGAGCGGGCACUUCGGUGUCAGCGGCAGACGGGUGAGGAACACGUGGGAACGUACCCUUCGGUUCGGAAUAACGCUGGGAAACUAGCGCUAAUACCGGAUACGCUCUGCUGGGGCAAGGUUUACUGCCGUAGGAUGGGCCCGCGUCCGUUUAGCUUGUUGGGGGGGUAAUGGCCUACCAAGGCGACGAUCAGUAGCUGGUCUGAGAGGAUGAUCAGCCACACUGGGACUGAGACACGGCCCAGACUCCUACGGGAGGGAGCAGUGGGGAAUAUUGGACAAUGGGCGCAAGCCUGAUCCAGCCAGGCCGCGUGAGUGAUGAAGGCCUUAGGGUUGUAAAGCUCUUUUGUCCGGGACGAUAAUGACGGUACCGGAAGAAUAAGCCCCGGCUAACUUCGUG
This 433-nucleotide ribosomal RNA is filed under the name uncultured bacterium. RNAcentral describes it as "partial 16S ribosomal RNA". It matches the Rfam family "Bacterial small subunit ribosomal RNA", at positions 29 to 507 of the family's 1533-position model. The record is from RNAcentral.